RNAcentral lists this long non-coding RNA (37522 nucleotides) under Ananas comosus (pineapple). Its description in RNAcentral is "long non-coding RNA (ACOM_LNC021619)". The record is from RNAcentral. Lineage: Eukaryota; Viridiplantae; Streptophyta; Magnoliopsida; Poales; Bromeliaceae.
AUUAGUAAUUAAUAAGGGUAAAAUGGGUAUUUAGAGAAUAUUAGAUGACUUUUUAACGGAAUGUUAAUCUUAAGGGUAUUUGUGAAUAUUUUUGUUUUAUAGAGGGGUAUUGCUGAUAUUUUGUAAUUUAUAGGGGCAUUUAUGAAAUUCCUAUCUCUUAGAAAGGGUAUUGAUGAAAUUAUUCCAUAUAUAUAUAUAUGUCGGAAACUAUUAAUAGUACCAAGCUGUUGGUGCUAUUAGUUUUUUAACUCUUGGAUUGGGAAUAUGCGGUUAGGAUGAUGUGGCCCUCUAGGGUUGAGUGGGUAGUUGGUUGAAUAGUAUAAUCUAAUAGGUAAAAAAAAUUAAAGAAUUAAAUCUAUAAGGUGGACAAACUCGAUAGCACCAAAUACUUAGUGCUAUCGAUAGUAUUCCAGUCGGACUCUCUCUCUCUCUCUCUCUCUCUCUCUCUCUCUCUCUCUCUCUCUCUCUCUCUCUUCUAUAUAGUAUAUAUAUAUAACACACACUGUCAUCGUCAAAGACGGCGGAAGAGAGUCGAAGCGGGGAAAAAAAAAAAAUGUCGCGUGCGGGCUCGGCGGGGUAGGAGGAGAGGAAGGCGGGGAGGUGCGCGCGGGGCGAGGCAUGAGGGUGAAAUGCGACGCAGGUUGUUUCGCCUUCGCCUCUGCGCCUUCUUCGGAGAGAGAGAAAAAAUGAACAAGAGAAAAAAAAAAAAAAAAAAAAAAAAAAGAGAAAAAGUAAUAAGGGUAUUUUGGUCAGUUUACUGAAAAUUAGGAAAGAAUCUGUAAAAUCGAAAAAGGCAAUCUAGUUUUGCAAAAGCUCAAAAGUUAUGAAUUUUUUAUGCAGAUUUGCCUUUCUUUUUCUUUCUAAUAUGCUUAUAUGCUUAUCUACUGAUGGGAAUUUUCAUCACUGAGGAAACUUAUCACAAGGAAGUAUAAUUUGUCUGAAAUCUGAUUUGGUAUAAUAAAGCCUUUCUUUAUGGCACGUAAUUAAGGUGUAAUGUGAUGUUUAUGUCGUGUCUGAUUAAACUCCAUUCAUAAGCGCUCCUUGUCCACAAAUUUCUUUUAAUUUAAUUAGUAUACGUAUCUCUAUUUAUUAGUCCUAAUUAUUCAUGUUGUUUUGGAGCUACUUGGAAGAAAUUUCAUGUUGAUUGUCUUUUUUGUAGUCUAAGUUCUCUAAUCGUAUUCGAUAAUUCCCCAAUAAUAGUGUUUUUAGUGGAGGAUUGUUGAGCAAUCAAAAUGCCGUAUGAGUCUAAUUUUCGAUGUAAAUCAAGUAAUAAAUGUAUGAUAGUAUUAUUUUGUCUUAUAAAAAUUUGUUUUGUUGUACUAGAUACAUUAUAAUCGUAAAACCACCCUUAGCUAGCCAUGUAUGAUUUGACUAAUCUACAAGUUAUAUUAUAUAUAUUAUUAUAUAUUAUUAAAACGAAUAGAUGCACUUGUUUUAACAGUUUUAAUAGUUAUUAUUAAUUUGUUUUAAUAGUUUGAAAGUAUUCAAUUAAAGCAUUAAUACAUGCUAUAAAUUUUUUUUUUUUUAUUAUAUUAAAGCUCCGUUAUCUUAGGUAGUGUUUGGUUUGAAAACAAGUGGAAUAAGCCCUUAUUCUCCCCUUUGUUCCCAAACGUCAUGUUUGGUAUCCGAAAAUAGUAAUUCUCGAAUUUCUGAAUAAGCUAGUAUAGGACUGGAACAACUGUUCCAUCUUUUUUUCCUGAAACAAACUUGUUCCCAAGUUGGAACAAGGUUAAGUAUGGUCUAAAUUUAAUUCUAAUUAUGGUAUUAAAUUAUUAAUUAAUAUAAUUAAUAUAUUUAAAUCAUUAUUUAUUGUUUAAAUAAUAAAAUGAUUUAUUUAUUUAUUAUAUAAUUAAUUAUUAAUAAUUUAAUGUAUUUAUCUAUAAACUAAUAUAUUUAUAAAGAUCAACCAUUAAUAUUUCUAUUAAUCUAAUUAAACUUUUUUAUUGGUUAUCUAGCUAAAAUAAUUCACUAACUAAUUAAAAAAUUAAAUUAUUUUUUAUAAUUAAUUAAUUAAUUAAUUAAUNAUUAUGAUUUGGGUUAAACCGGAACUCCCGUAUGUUAUAUAUUUAUAUAUAACUUAAUGUAAAAAUGUUAAAUCACGUACAUCCAUCAAAUACGUGUUCAGAUACAUGCCAACCGUUAUAUCUACCAUAUCUUUAUAAAUCAUUUUGAAUAGAUCAAUUGUAUCUUUAGGCAGUGCUUGGUUCGGGAACAAGAGGGGAACAAGCCCUUAUUCCCCUCUUUGUUUCUGAACACUGAAGGAACAACCUAAUUUUCAUGUAAAUUAUUUUAAAUUUAUUAAUUAAAUUUACUACUAAUAAAUUUAUUAAAUUAUUUUUAAGUAAUAUUUUGAUAUUAAUUAAUUAGAUAAAAUAAUUUUAAUUUAAAAUUAUAACUCUUAUUUUUCUUGUUCCAAUCUAACCAUCCAAACACUAUUUACCUUAUUCCUAACAAUAACCCCAAUUUUCAUUUAAAUGUAAAAUUGGUUUAAUUCUUACUUAUACCUGAGCUUGCACAUAUUCCUGAAAUAAGCAGUUCUUAUUUAUACCCGAAUGAAACGCAGCCUUACUUAGGGGUGCAAACGAGCCGAACACGAGCGAGCACGGCCUUAUUCGUAUUCGGUCGUAUUAGAUUCGAGCCGAAUUCGAGCUGACUCGAAUUAAUUUCGAGCCAGAAUAAGACCCUUUCGAGUUCGGCUCGAAAUCAAAAUCGAGCCAAAUUCGAGCAGCUCGAAAUAUUUUUUUUAUUUUAUUUUUCGAGCUAAUUUCAAGCCAUGUUCAAAUUUGGCUCGGAAUUGUUUGAUUCCGAGCCAGCUCGUUAAUAGCUUGAAAUUCUUUAUUUUUCUUUACUUUUUUCAAUUUUAAAUGUUUAUGAAUAUUUGCCAAUAUUACAUUAUAUAAAUUUAGCUACAAUCCAAAUAAAACUACAAUCAAUAUAAUUAUAACCAACAUACGUGCUUAAAUGCACGCAACAAUUAAAAAAAAUCUCAAGAAUAAUUUGAAAUUUGAAAAUAACUUACAUCUCUAUAUUGGCUCCCAUUUCCAAUUGCUUGAAGAUAAAUAGAGCUAUUUUGGAGAUAAAAAGAAAUUAAGCAAAUUUCGAAUUAAAAUAUAGAUUCACACUAGAUAUCUUUCGGCUGGUAAAAAUUUGGAUAAGUAUAUUUUUUUUCUAUUUUAGAGAUAAAGAAAAAUUAAAAAGUUUGUUUCAUUACGUUAUUUAUUUUACGUAAGGAAAGAGAAAUCAAUUUUUUUUUUCCGCUAAAAAACUGGUCGGUCGAAAUUUGAAAUACGCGCGUGCUUAUAUAUACUCAUAAGAGUAUCGUAGCUCUAGCAUAUAUAUAUAUAUAUAUAUAUAUUCAAACUAUUUCGAGUGGAGCAUGAACAAGAAAAGCCUGCUCGACCUCGGUUUGAAAUUAUUUUCGAGCAAAAAAAUUUAGCUCGUUUUAUAUUUGAAAUUAAUUUCAAACAAGUCAUUUUCGAGCCUAUUUCGAAUCGAACGCAAGUUGGCUCGCGUGCGGCGAGCUAGACUUGCAGCCCUAGCCUUACUAUAUAAAGAGUAAUGAAUAAGCAACUCAAGCUAUGCAAAUUUUUGUUGCAAAAACAUGGGUUCUGUGGUGACCAAGUCUAAACCUCUCUUAAUUGCCCCAUCCAAACCAACCCCUAGGGGGAAACUCUCUCUCUCUCCAAUUGACAAGAUCCAAAUUUUGCAAUCCGUACUUAUUCCAUCUAUACAUGUUUUCGCACACGGCGAUAGUGGCAGCAGCGUUGAGAUAGUUAAUACGAUAAAACAGGCAAUAUCGGAAGCACUAGUUCUAUAUUACCCGCUUGCAGGUCGACUUAUGGAAGUAGGGGACGGGGACCUCUGCAUUGAGUGCAAUGGAGAAGGAUUAGGCUUCGUCGAGGCGUCGGCGGAUUGUAGCUUGGAGGAUGUGAAUUUCUUGGAGCACCCUUAUGUGAUCCCGUUGGAAGAGCUCGUAGUAGAUCAUCGCGGUUGGAGAGUAACCGAUCCUCCCGUCGUUAUGCAGGUUUCGUAUGACUACAAAGGUUCAUUAAUUCCUUAAUCGAAAAGAGUUGUAAAUAGUGGCGCGAUAAGUGUAGUUGUUUUUCUUUUAGAGAUAGGUAACACGCUACCCGCUUCGUUUAUUUUAUUUAGAAAUAAACUUAGCUAGAAAUGUGAAUCAACUAGGAUUUGAACUUGGGUCUCAGAUACCAACUACCAAACCCUUUGCCACUUGCUCUAGGGACGGUCGGUGAUAAGUGUAGCUGUUAUUUCAAGUCAUUUAUUGGUUAAUUUACAUUAAUAUAUGUUAUGCUUAGAUCUAAGCAUGGGCCGAGCGGCUGACUUGGACCGCUCGAGCCCAAAUCAUAAUGGGUGGUCUUGGGGUUCAUUUCUUGUUAGGCCCAGCCCAGAAUAUAAACGAGUCUUAUAUUGUUUGGAUUUGGAUUUGGAUUUAGCUCUCAAAAACCUAGCUUGAGAUGCGUGUGGCCUAUGAACAGCAGGUCUAUUUAUGACUAAUCUUUUGGUGUAUUUUGUUAGUAAGCAUACAAAUUACUUACAUUCACCAUGCAUAUAUAGGUAACCAAAUUCACCUGCGGUGGAUUCGCCGUCGGCUUUGCAUGGCACCACUCACUCUCCGACGGCACCGGAGCUGCACAAUUCUUGAAUGCUGUAGGCGAGCUCGCUCGCGGCCUCCCACGCCCAACCGUCAACCCGAUUUGGGCCAGGGAUUCUCUCCUCGAUCUUCCCCCGAAAAUGCCCUCAUUACCUUUAUGGACUCCGAACUUACUCGAGUUACGGUGCUCCGAGCUGAACAUGCCCUUAGAUUACAUCAAUCGAACUAAGGAAAACUUCUUUCGACAAAUUGGACAAUCGUGCACCACAUUUGACGUGGCCUUGGCCACAAUUUGGCAGUGUCGGACACGAGCAAUAGGCUUAGAACCUACUGAACCAGUGCAGGUGUAUUUUGCGGUGAAUGUCCGCGAAAUGCUACAAGCUCAACCAGGCUACUACGGAAAUAGCAUUUUCAUCCAAACCGCCUCAUCGACUAGUCAGGAGAUUGCAAAGGCACCUAUUGUUGAGAUUAUUAAAAUCAUUAGAUCUGCCAAGGGUACGGUUUUGACUGAACUAGCUAAAUGGAAGAGGGGCUUACUGAAAUGCAGCCCUAUGGAGCAUGUUGAUCUCAGCUACAACACGCUUGGCAUAACUUAUUGGAAAAAUUUAGGGUUCGAGCACGUCGAUUAUGGAUCAGGUAAGCCGUUUUUGGUGACCGUACAUAAUGAAUAUAAGUUUGUCUCCUUCUGCAUACUAGGUUUACCGCAUACUCGCGAAAAUGGGGUUUAUAUAAAUGGACGCAUUGUUAAGAAGGAACACUUAGAAGCAUUCCAUGAAGAAAUGAAGCUGCUAGAAUAAUUUCAAAGGAAAGAGGGUUUUCAUCACCAAUAAUAAUACGAAUGGUUUGUACCGUCGAAUUAGUUCGAUCGCCUUACGAUCGAAAAUCAAUAAAUGCCUUGUAAUUUUUAGAGAUUCUCUAACUCUCUAAAAGGAGUACGUGCAUAUGGCUUGCAUAUCUAUAUAUGUAUUUUGUUUGUAGCACACAAAAAUAAAAAAAGAAUGAAAUUUGUUAUGGUAAUUACUUGUGUUUAUUUCUUUGCUUUAAAAUUAAUAGAGGAAUUUCAAAACUAUAUACUUUAACUUCAACAUCAUAAAACAUACCCAAUGUGUUACACACCCAACUAUUUAAUUAAUUAAUGUGUUGCAACUCGUUUAGCUCUAUAUAUUAUAAACAUAAUGCUCCAUAUCCUCAUAUAAAAACAUUAUCUUCAAAUUUUAAUAGUAGAGAUCACUAGCUAGCUCCUUGGAUGUUGCCAUUUAAACCAACACAUAUCUUUUCUAAAUCUCCACAAUAAUCAUUCAUUUGAAGCCCUUAAAACAUGUCACUUAUAUAUAUAUAAUAUAGGCAUUACAUAAAGGAGCUUUUGCUACAUAUAUAUACUAUUAUUCUAUAAAUAAGUCACCAUCUUGUGUGUUUUAUUUAUUUAUUUUGUUUCCAUCAAUCCAUCAUUACCUUGGAAUUCCAUGAUCUGACCCACCAACAAUCAAUACAAGAUUGAUUACUCCCCAAGCAUAUUUUUCCUCCUUUAUUAAUUGCUUUUGUACCCUUUUGUCUUAACCUUAAUGGGGCUACUCUUUGGACUUGCUUGGGAUUAUUAUUAUUUGAGUAGAAUUACAUACAAAAUAGGUGAUAGAUUUUCUAAACUCUAGCUCUUUGGUAAACAAGCAUCUGAAUUUUUAAUUUAGCAAUUAGAUAGUCUAAACUUAAUUAGUAAAAUAGUAUAAUAUAAGCAAAAGUUUCAAAUUGGAACUUGCUUUUAUAGCUAAGAAGAUCAUUUUAGCUUUUUGUUAAUGUAAAAGUUUAAUUAAGACAUUUUGUCUACCAAAUGCUUUUGUAAAACAGCUGUUUAUCUUCAGAAUAAGAUUACACUACUAGAGACAGAUGUUUAAAUAUUUUUUAUUUAUCUUUUGAUAGAUUCAUGACAUGGGCUUAGAUUUAAUUAGGAAAAACUAAAUGAGGUUAAUUAGGCAACUAAUAGGAUUUGAACUCAUAACCUCUUAGAAACUUUUUUGAACUUCUAGUAGACCCUGAAACUGGAUAAGAAAUAAAUAAGAAAAAACUUAAAUAAGACUAGGUCUGGUUCAUUCGAACUUAUGAUCUCCAGAUUUGAUAUGGUGUAAAAUAAUUAUUUAUUUUUUAAAACAACAAACUAUUGGAGAACGGUGUUUGGGUUCUAAGUUUCUUAUAUUCAACAUAUAUAUGAGAGGGCCCUACUUUUGUUUAUCUUUAUAUAAAGUUAGAAAAGAAAAGGACUUAAGCACCAUAAGAGCAAUUACUUGUGAACUCAACUAAGAGAUCUAGUGGUGAAUUUCAUUAGGCCAAUUAUGGGGGGUUUUGACUAGCCAUCCUAGGUUGUUAGGAUUAGAAGUAAAACUUACUCUACACUUUAAAUUUCUUUUUAACCUUCCACAAAUAUGGUAGUCAAUUAAUGGCUUCUAAGAUUAUAUUAACAUACAAAUCACACUUCACAAAAUCAAAUUCUAGUGUUCAUGUGUAGUGAGAGAGAGAGAGAGAGAGAGAGAGAGAGAGAGAGAGAGUAUAAAGCAUAAGAUGUUCUUUUUUAAGAAAGAAUAGUAUUUAGCAAAUUAAGUUGAUUAAUGGCCAAAAAAUACAUUAGUUGGGUGCAUGGUUGUUGUUUGAUGUGGAAAAGCUGUUGAGACAUUCCAAUCACUUAUUCUUUUCAGAUAAUUAAUUGAAUGCUUCCUCCUCCUCUAUUCAAUGCCUAGUUUUAGCAUGUGCAUUUUCUACAGUUCUGUGAUCCGUAUCUAAUAUCAUACAAAUAUUUUAUUAUAGAUGGACGACAAGAUCAUAUGAUGUAUGCAGACACUAAAUCAAAAUGACAUUCAUUAUCUACACUAUUUAUUUUAUUUUAUUUUUUUUUCUAAGUUGCCUGUAGGCUCCAAACCCCUUAUUUUUGACAUGCAGAUGCGAGUAUUCUAAUCCUAACCUGUAAAUAGCAUAUCAGAUAACAACCAACUAUUCUAGAUAGUGAAAAAAAAAACCCUUCUCGAUCAAUAACCAUUAUUUUAUAUAAAAACAACGACAUCCAAUCAAAAAUCUUCGUAAUGCACACAAGUACCCAAAAAAAUGUUAUUAAACAAGAUAAUUUUAAUACAUAUAUAAUUCUAAGCACAAAUUCCUAUAUGCACACGAGAGUUGUGGGUGUUGGUGUGUAGGAGCUAUAUAUAAAUAGCAACCUCAUGAGGCUCUUAGACAAGGCCAAAAAUGCCCACCAAAUUGCUUAAAUUUCUUCUUUGUCUCUACAUACAUAUGGAGAGGUAAUUUUCUUAAUUUGUUUCUCUUCCUUUAUUUUUUUUCUAACAAAGAAAAAAAAAUCGACAUUAAGAAACAUCAAGGAGAUAUACAUGUUAUGCAUGCUUUAAUAUUCGUGAUUAAUUACCUUCAUAUAUUUCUUUGUUGUACCACUCAAUAACUUGUCAAGCCAUGUAUAAGUCUAUGAAAGUGGUAAAAAAAAAAAAAGAAAAACGAAAAGAAAAUGAAAAGUUUUGAUCGGAUGAUUAUGUUCUUGUAAAUUAGAUUCUUAAUUAAGAAGCCUUUACUUUAGAUUAAUGUAUCAAUUAAUCGAUCACUAGAAGUUAUUAAUUUUCUUCUUUUUUUGGGUUUUCUUUUUUAAGAGAGAUAUGCGCGCUAACUUAAGUGCAUGUUUAAUUAGUCCUUCAAAUAACUUAGCACUAGAUGAUGAUGAUGAUGAUGAUAAUAAUAAUAAUAAUUAAAAAAUUGUAACUAAAUGGCUAAUUUAAUUUCAUCUAUUAAUUGUCUUUGACUAUUCUCAUAUUUGGGAAACUUUUUCUAGAGAGUUUAUGCUCUUGUUUUCUAUGAACCUGAACUCUAACCAAGAGGGAAUAUGUAAACUAUUCCCACAACUAAAUUUUAAUAUUGUUAUUAUUAUUUUUAUUUAAAUGUUCUCUAGUGUCAUAUUUAUGUAAUUAAAAUUAGGAACUCUACAUGGCAUAAUUCCCUUAUUAUUUUUUAGAAACUUUCUUCAUUAACCAGCUUUAUUAUGAUCAAUAAUUUAGUAACAAAUUUAGUAUAUAUGCUUCUCAUCUCCUUAUAAUAAAUAUGUUAAGAGAUUCAAUUGUCAUCUAGAUUUCUCCCUCUUUUUGGUUUUUGUUUUUCCUUUUUGUUGUAGUUUCAUUUUGGUUUUCCUUUUUUGGUGAUCCAUUGGUGAAAGAAAAGGUUUAAAAUAGGCCAAACAUAUGGGACUUGGGCACAUGCUUUGGCAACAUGUAACACUUUUAUUAAUUAAGGGACAAUGCAUGGCAUCUAUAUAGCUAAUCUAGGUAUUAUAGGUAUAUUACAUACAAAUCAAAAACUAUACAUAAAAGUUAUAGCUAGCCCUAGAGGAUAGGUUAUUGCUCGACGCUUCGAGAAAAGCUAAGGUUUUGUGCUGUAUUAGCUUCCAAAUCGCUCUCGAGAUAUCGAGGAUUUGUACGUUUGGCCAAACACAAUCAUCCCCCUUUAUCGAUUCGCCUCUUUGUUUACUGUACAAAAGUGUUGCUGAAGCUAGAAGUGAGAGCUUUUAAUCGAAUUAGAGUUUUUCGAUUUCGAAAGUUACAUAUGGGGGCGUAUUUUGAGCCUCUUGCUUGAGAUAGACAUGCUUAAUUUUCAUCAAAAAUCAUGUCUCCUUCUUAAUUAAUCCUCAAGUAGAAAAGCUGUUUCAAAAGGUAGAAAAGUAGAGAUGACAGUACGUGGGCCGGGUCAGGUAUGGAGCAUGUUACGACGAGCGCACGAAUAGAAAAUGAAUAUAAAUGACGAUCACAAAGUAGACAAACCACAAACAGUAAAAAAAAAAAGAUAGAACACAACAAUUUACAUGAAAAACCCUUUGUAGAGAAAAAAAAAUCCAUAGGUAAAGGAAGAGAGAACUUCACUAUACAAAAAAAGAAUACAAUAGUGUGAGAAGUCUAAUACGCUAUAUCGCCUUUAGGGCAAAAAGAAGAAAGAACUUUCUUAACGGAUUUGCUCAAAUCGCUUCCACCGCAGGCAUUUCCUUUUUUCUUCACAAAUCGAUUUUCAAAAUUUGUCACACCACGAAGUUGUCGAAACCAAAUUUUGAGGCAUAUCUAAUAGAGCAUACUAACUUGUUUUGAUUAAUUGGGUAGGGUACACAAAAUUUGACUUAGGCAAACUUUUUUUUUUUUUCAAAUGUGACCAAAAAAUUCAAACAUGUUUAAAACAAGAAAAGAAGCAAUAAUAUAGAAAAAAGCACUGGUGCCCAUUGUAGAUAGUGUGCAUUUUUUUGAUUGUGUAGUUCAAACAAAGCUUUUGCACCCAUGUUUGGGUCUACAUGGAAGAUCCUAAUUGUAGAAGGACAAAUUAGAGGAGCCAAUUGAUUGGCAUAGUUAUAGUGUCAUGUGAAUCGAGGAGAAAGGUACAAGUUUGGUGAGAGAAAAGGGUACUAGGUAAGUAUAUAUAUAUAGACCUAAUAAAUAUUGUAUAAAAAAAGAUCAAUGAGGGUAGUGUCUUAUAUUUAUUUCACACUCAACUAACCAUAAUAUGAGGCCACCUUUUGUUGGCUUUAAUUUAAAGUCACUUUGUAUUCAAGUCUUAACUCUAGAAAUUUGUUUUGUGAGAUUUUAUAUAUAUAUAUAUAUAUAUAUAUAUAUAUAUAUAUAUAUAAUAUGAGGCCACCUUAGCUUGUUUGGCUUGUUUAGAGCUUUAUACAUUUGUUGUUUAAAUAUAGCUGUUUGAAAAGUAGUUCGAAAAUUUUGCUCGAAUCCGGCCAAAAGUGGUUGACGUUAAGUUAAUAUAAGUUUUUCGAUUAUGAGCAUUUGCUUUUGGAACUCAAAAUCUCAUUUUCUCUUUUUAUCAGAAUAAAGGAGUAUUGUUUAUUUAUACGAACACAGUCAAUUUUUCUACUUACAAAGGAUUUCCUUGAAUUGGAUUACUAUAUGUCUAUUGUCAGUAUAGUUGGUACACGAAUAUUAUUCUUUUAUAGUAUAUCCACAAACUGGCUUACUGCUUAAUUAGUUACUGCUUUAUUUUUCUAUGGGACUAAAUAAAUUCUAUUAUAACUAAAUCGUCACGAUCGAUCUCCAUAAUGUGAUAUCUUUUACAGAAACAACCUUGAUGUAGUGCCAUUGCACUUCCUUACCAUGCGUAUGCAUCCUCCCCAAAAUUCCAAACGGAGCCUUCCUAGGGUUAGGCCUCAUUAACAAUGCGGGUUGACCAUAUUGCAUUAUGAUCAUCAUCAACCAAAACAAAGUUAAAAAAAAAAAAAAAAAGAAGAAGAAGAAGAAAAAUUGAAAUGACAGAAAAAUAAAUGUGAUCAAAACUGUAGGUAGGGGUCAACUAUAAAUUAUAUCCUUGUCUCAUAAUGUACAUAAAAUUGCACAGGGAUAUGUUCUUUUCCUUGUCCUUGUCUGGCUCUUUCAGAGACAGCUAAGUAGUUAGGUUGGCCCAAUAGAUUAAUUAAUGUACUUUGUAGCUUACACAUAUAAUACUAUGAUUAGCAAAAAUUAGGGUGGUGCAAAACUCAAAGUAUCAACUAUAUUCUAUUUGAUUGUGAAGGGAAAGUUAACUGUGAAACUUGUGAUCACAUUAACAAGGACAUGAUCUACAUGGUACUUUGGUGAUGCUAAUGAUUGAGCAUCUUAUGUAUAUGUACAUGAAUUUAGAGUAUUCAUGGAGCAUCUACUUCCCACCUACUGAUAAUAAGUUGUCGCAUAAUUAUUUUUAUUUACUAGCAUAGUCGAUAAGAAUAUUUUUAUUCACCUCAACGUACACUCUUUUGAUCGUUGAUAGGGUUUAAAGAUUUUAAGCACUAGCUAUUUUUUUACUGAAAGUUUACGAUAGCAGAGUACGGCAUUUUAUUUUAUAUUCAACGCUUGCGGUAUCCCUGUAGCAUUUAUGGAGCAUCUAUUUUAUACUUUUUUUUUUUGGCUUAAUUACUUUAGCAUCUUAUCAAUCUAUAUACAGUAUUAUAGAUAUAAUUUUAGCUUUUUUCCUAUAUUAUUUUCUUCCUUCUUAAAUAUCACUAAAAUAUCAUUUUCACUGAUCUCUACACUGUUGCGAACAAAUCAACUGUUUUAGACAGAAACUAUAUAACUACUUUACUAAGAGACAUUACUAAAUAGUAGGAAAAAAAGAAAAAUGACCAUUCCAUAAUAGAUUUAUCGAAAGCUUAUAUCAAGUUAUUUUCAGCUAUAUUUUCCACGGUAUUUCUAGUUUUAAAAAAAAAAAAUUUGUUAAAAUGGGUCAAAUAUAUGGUCUAUUAUUUUGAAUUAGUAUUUUUUGAUAAAACUACUAGUUUUCUCUAAAAUUGUAGAUUUAUUAUUUGCAUCGCAAGAAUUAUAAAAAAACAAGACAGUUUAGUGGUGUCUUUAAAAAGAAAUAGUACAAUAUAACAAAAAAAAAAUCUAAAAAAACUAAAACUAUAGUAUAGUGUAGUACAAUAUAGUACAGUUAAGCCUAUUUUUCUAUUGUUUGUUUAGACUCAAUAUCAAUUAUUUUUUUCUUUAAAACACCUUAAAUUAGUGGAGAAUAUUGUUCUAACCAAUAUUUAUUAUUCUCAACAAAAAGGGUGGGGCAUACUGUCCUGACCUUGCUCCUCACCUAGCUUACCCUCCCCCCUUCCUCCCUUCCCUCUCUAGCUUGUAAUCUCGGUUUUUUCUUUCUUCACUGUUUUCACCUUUUGCCGCUUUCGGAGGCCGUUGUUGCUUCCAUUCUGUACACUUAAUUCAUUCCGCUUUAUGAAUGAAGCAUGUAGCUUGCUAUUUUUUUCUCAAAAAAAAAAAAAAACAAAACAAAACAAAACAAAAAAGGUGGAGGGGAGGCACAAAAGGAAACUUCUGCAGGUCCACUCACACCCCACCAUUAUUCCUAGUCCAUUGAUCAUGUUCAUCCUAGCAAUAGCUAGCUUUUCUGUUCAUCCCUUGUUAGUGCCUUCACAUGAUUGUUGAAGAAUCUACCUUUUUACUUUUCCUUAAUCUAGUGGAUUAGGAAUCCGAAGCUCCCUUUUAUGUUUAAUAUAUAUUAUUAAUUAUGAGUACUGCAUACUAAUGCGUAUCUUAAAAGAUCUCUUUAAUUAGAAGCUGGUGAUCAUCGAUACUUUUCCUCACGUUUGGAUUCGAGAUACUUUAAAAGGCUCAGAACAUAAACUUAAUGAGACUAGAGUUUGACGAAAUUCAAGUUUAGAAUCUACAGCUCUGAUGUCAUGUUAAAAGCUAUAUAUUAGGGGAUGUUAGAUAUGUCUCGAAUUCUAGUUCCAUAAGGUUUUUUAACCCUAUUUUGUUUUGAUUAUCCCAUUAAGUUAAGUUUAGAUUAUGCCUAAUCUUAUUAAGAUAUUCUUAAUCUUAGUAGGUUUGUAUUUCCAGUUGUAUUAUGAUUUAACCACUAUUAUAAAUAUACCCUUUCUGCUAUUCAUUUGGUGCGGAAGAUGAGAGAGGGAAUAUGAGUGUAUUUUUUGGGAUUAGGGUUUUAUGAGAUAGACAUAUUUUGUACACCACUUUAAUUAUAAUGAAGAUCUCCGCUCCGUCUUCGUCCGUGGACGUAGGUCGGUGGCCGAACCACGUAAAUAUUGUGUGUUUUCUUUUUCUUCUCUCUUUCUCGGAUCUCUUUUGAUAUUUUCGCAUCCGACGAACUAGAUCUUUUCGGUUUUAGUUCCAAGAGAGGAAGUUGUUUUUAAUAUUAAUGUUCAACUGUUGUUAUCUUUUGUUUAUAAUUUAAAAUCUAUUUAUAUUCCCAUGAUUCCAGGUUCUUAUGCUUACCAAACCUCCUAUUAAAUCCCAUAGAAUGUGAAUCAGUGUAACAACAACAACUCUCAAAGUUGCAAAAGGGAAAUAAAUUAUUUAAUCAUACUGAUAGGAAGUCUCCUUCUCUCUUUUUUUUAAAAUUCUUUUCUGUACCUUCUCAUUAAAUGCUGUCUUUGUUUUUCUUUUCCUGAUCUAUAUGUGCAGAAAGUCCCCAAGUCAGAUUGUGAGCUGCAGAAACCAACAAACCAAAAUAAGAGCUCAGAACUGGUGGGUAUUUAUAAAAAAUUCAAAAAAAAAAAAAAAAAACCAUGGAGUUUUUCACUCUGUUUGUUUUCUUUUCUCUUCAUUUUUCUUACUCUUGGCCACUUUUUUUUGGGCAUCCCUUGUGGAUGACGAUAUUAAUAAAUUCAAGUAGUAUUACUACAGAUCCAAUAAAUCUGAUCUGCGACGUGUAGUAAAUAUGUACGUAUCAAUGCCGCUUCUUUCUUAGUUAUAUGAAGAUAUACAUUUCGGAUAAGCCGAGUAAACUAGAAAAUGUGAAAGAACAAGAGCUGCAUAUAUAUAUAUAUAUAUAUAUAUAUAUNUUGUUUUCUUUUCUCUUCAUUUUUCUUACUCUUGGCCACUUUUUUUUGGGCAUCCCUUGUGGAUGACGAUAUUAAUAAAUUCAAGUAGUAUUACUGCAAAUUGAAUUGAAGGGUCCAUUAUUUCUCUGCCACAGUCCUUUUUCAGAUAGAGGCAUUUCCCUCAGGCAUAAAUACAAGGAUUAAGUAACUCCAGCAGUGUGCAUCAAGUUAGCAGAGCAUUAAUUUCUUUACUAUGUUACCAAGGCCUUAGAAUUUUACCCUUUUUUUGUUUUCUGUUUUUUUGUUGUUUCCUCUACAUUGCUUUGAGCCAUUUUAUAGUACUGGAUUUUACUGCUGGGAAGAGCCAAAUGUCACAUCCAUCAUUUUAUGCCACUACCAUACCAGCACAAUCACAUCUUCUAGUUAAAAGAUCACUCAAAAGAGGAGGAGAAAAAAAAAAAAAGGUAAAUAAAACAUGAGGAAUACUUCAAUACAUCAUAAAUAUUAAAAUUUAAUUCUUAAUUAGUAAAGAAUAUAAUUGAAUUUUACAUGAAGUAACCUGUUGAACAGAUUAUCGAUUUGAAUAGUCAAUAUGACAAUAUUAGAAAAAAAUUAAUAAUAUAUAUCAAAUUUGUCAGCAUCCUAUAAAUAUUAAAUAUCUGAUUUACUUUGGUAACUUACCAAAUUAGAUAAUACUCAAUUUGUUAAGUAUCUAGCUCAAAAAACUAUUGAAUUUAAAUUUAAUUUUUGAAGUUGGUAUUGUAAUGUAAAUUUUAAUUUUGAAAUUUAUAUUAAACUUUUAAAUUUGAAUCUAAAUUGAACUUUUAAUUUUAAAGCCAAAUUUUAAUUUUUUGAUUUAAAUUGAAAUUUUGAAUUGGAACUGAAAGUUUUAUUUUAAAUUUGUGUUUUAUAUUUAAAAAAAAUUAAAUUUGAUUUAUAAUUAAGUUUUAAAUGUUGUUUUGAAAUUAAAUUUUACAAUUUGAUUGUAAUUUGAAUCCUACUAUUGUUGUAGGCAUUUGAAAAGGUCACAGUAUUUUUAGUUGGAUAAAACUGGUUUUGUAAACCAAAAGAUUUUACAAAGACCAAAAUACCUUUAAAUAGAUAUACCUGGUCAAUGGUACCUAUACUUCAAUAGUAGGUCACCUUUAGAGUAAUAUUAAAUCUAAACCAUCUAUUAAGAAAAAUAAAUUGUCGAGAUUUAUAUAGUGUAUUGAAGCAUUACUCAUAAAACAUAUAUAUUCAUCUCGUAGAUACCAGCUUGGGAUAUGCGAUAGUUAAUGAUUAGUUUAACUUUUCAGAAUAAAUAUUUUAGUGUAGUGUUUUUUUAAAAAGUUAAAAGGCUGAACCCCUACUAGUCGCUAUAUGCACUAUUAUAAUGCAUGCCGUCUCAUCAAUAGUAAAAUAAUUUUCAUAUAAGUUCCCCUUAAAUUUUUUUUUUAAUCUUUUUAUAUAAGUUCCUGAGUUUCAAUUUUCUUUUUGUUAUUAAAGUUUCUAUUUUAAUCUACAUGAAAAUUAAGCUUGUAGUCAUUAGUCAACCCUGAACAACCAAAAAAUCAGCAUUAAUUUCACCUUUGAUGAUGAUUACAGAAUAUUGCACAUGGAUGACUCCUCUUUUGUUUUUUUUUUGUUUUUUUGUUUAAGUUCCUUGCAUGACACAAACCUUGCUUUGUCCUUGUUUGUGUGAUCCCAGAUUCCUACUCAGAAAAGAAAAAAACAAAAAAAAUACAAAAACACAAAAAAAAAAUUGUGUUCUCAUCAGUGGCUCCACCCCUCCUUAGUCAACUGCUUGUGUCCCCCCCACCCUUCUCCACCCAUGGUGAUAGAGAGAGAGAGAGAGAGAGAGAGAGAGAGAGAGAUGCAGAGAGAGAAGAGAGAGAGAGAGAGGGAGGUAUCAUAAGAUCUCAUAAAUUCUCUCAACCACUCAACUAAACAGCUCCAAUCUUCUGCAACCAAAAAGGAAAAAGGAAAAAAGAGAGAGCCAUGAAGCAGGAGCUUAAGUUCAGAGAUGAUCAAAAGGCUUCAUCCCCAGCAGCAGCAGCAGCAGCAGCUGCUGCUUCCAGGAGUAGUAGAGCUUUUAGAGGCAGAAGAGAGAGCCCAAGAUCAUCAGAUUCUGCAAGUGCCUCCUCACCAUUUCUCAAAACCAGGCCAAAGCCACCCCCUCCUUCAGAACCACCACCCCCACCACCACCAACAAGAAUAAUAAGAUCUUCCACUUCUACUACUGCUGCUGCUGCUGCUGCUGCUGAUGCUGCUCAUGCAAACAAAAUGAGACCAAACAAUGAUCAUCACGAUCACCGGCCUGCCGCGGGGCGAUUCGCAGAGCAGUUUGCGCAGCUGCGGCCGGACGCGAGGGAGCUGCAGAGGAGGAGGCUGGAGGAGAGUGAGAAGGUGGUGAGGGAGUUGAGGGGUGAGGUGUCUGCACUGAGAGCUGAGCUGAAGAGGCUGCAGGGUGCCAAUUCUCAGCUUGAGUUGGACAACAAGAGGUUUGCUGACAACUUACUGGCUGCCCAGGAAAGGAUCCAACAGCUUGAGAUGCUGAAUCUGAAUUGUCAGGUAAAACAAAAAGUUUAUCUUGUUCAGAAAUCAAUCAUGGUAUCUUGUACCGCAUUCGUGUCGGGCCGAUUUUAGAUCUUUUCGGGUCGUGUCGUGUGUCGUGUUCUGAAACUGAGAAAAUUGAUAACCAUCUUUUAGAACAGUUCCAUUUCCUACAUAAAAUUGAUAACAAGUUAAUGCUCAUUUCAUUCUAUCCAAUCCAUGCGUACGAAUCCUUUUUUCAGGAUGCGAGAAAGUUCGCAGCGGCAGAUAAACUAGAACAACCGAAAGUAGAAGAUGAAACCGACACCGACACCGACGAAACACAGUUGGUGCAAUUGACGCAAAGAGCUCAACCUCCGGAACUCGCGAAACAUAAGGAAUUGAAUGCAAAGUCCUCUCCAACUCCUCCUCCUCCUCCUCCUCCGCCGCCGCCUCCUCCUCCUAUGUCGCGCCAAGCACCCCCCUCGAAGUCGAAUUCGGUUAAUAAAGCUACCGCAUUGGUUGAAUUGUACAACUCGUUGACGAAGCGCGACGGAAAGGACUCGAAGGGGAGUGGAAGCUACUCAAAUAGUGUUGGUGCCAAUCCCCAUCACAGUAUCGUCGGAGAACUCCAGAACCGGUCGGGACACUUGUUGGCAGUAGGUUCUCGGCGUUCUUCGAUAUGGUUGUGCUUGUUUUGUUGCGUUUUUCGCUUUUAAUGUUCUCUCAACUGCGUAAUUACUUGCGUAGAUAAAAGCAGAUGUGAAAACAAAGGGUGAAUUCAUUAGGCAUCUUAUCGACAGAGUCCGAUCCGCAGCGUAUACGAACAUGGACGAUGUCUUAGCGUUCGUGGAUUGGCUCGACCGAGAACUCUCGACAUUGGUAAUCUUCUCAAUUGUGCAUUUUUUGAGUCGAAAAGCAAUUACAAAGAAAGCAAGUUGAGCACAUGGACUUGUUAAUUCCAGCCUGAUCGGUUUUUUUCUGAUUCUUCGCAGUCUGACGAGAGAGCUGUUCUGAAGCACUUUGACUGGCCCGAGAGAAAAGCCGACGCAUUGCGGGAAGCUGCUUUUGAGUACCGAGAUCUGAAGCGCGUCGAAGCUGAAGCCGCUUCUUUCAGCGACGAUCCCUCGUCUCCGUGUGAGGUUACUCUAAAGAAGAUAUCGAACUUGCUAGAAAAGUAUGACAAAUCAUUCCGUUACUCCGCUUCACUAAUCUUACUACUGUUAUACUGUCACUGUCGAAAAUAGUAAGCACGGAAAUGAAAUUUCUUAUAUAUAUAUGUUUUUUGUUAAGUAAUUUUCGACAUUGAUUUUAGGUUGGAGAAAAGCAUGAAUAGGCUGAUCAAGUUACGGAACUCGAGUAUGCUCCCUUACAAAGAGUGCAAGAUUCCAACAGAGUGGAUGCUCGACUCAGGAAUUGUUAGUACGGUACGUGCGUACGUUAGCUGUCAUUUCGACCAUUUUUUGCUUGAGAUUUCAAUCCAACAUAUGUACUCUAGUCGCAAUCUGCGUGUUAAGUGAUGAUACUUGAACUGUUGUUUGCUUUUCUCCCUCAGAUGAAGUUGGCUUCGAUGAAACUUGCUAAGGUGUACAUGAAGCGCGUGGUUAUGGAGCUCGACACGAAUAGGAGCCCAGAAAGGGAAACGGCGCAAGAAGCGCUUCUCUUUCAGAGCGUACGCUUCGCUUACAGAGCACACCAGGUAACAUUUGCUACUCAGUAAGGAUUCAGGACCCAAGAACACACAUGUCAGUAAUCUGACGGAAUUUCAAUUGUUGUAAUUUUGCAGUUUGCGGGAGGUCUCGACUCUGAAACAAUGCACGCCUUCGAGCAGUUGAGAGAAAAGGUUCGAUCUAACGGGAGAGGAUCGAAGGUUCUGAUUCCCGGCAUGGUGCUUUCCUAGCAAAGCUGAUAAGAGAUGUCACAGUGAUCCAAUUUUUAGGGCUUAGAGUCUUUGUAGGUAAUACGGGCAAAAUGUUAUGCUGAAAAGGCAAUGAUCUGUUUUGUUUGUUUUGUAUGUACAGGCAAAGUUGAUCCGGUGACUUAACUCGAUAAGCUGAGACUCAGUAGCUCCAAAACCGAAAUAACAGUUCCGAAAGUGAAUUGUUUGUGUAUCAUUGUUUUAUGCGGAUAACGGUGUUAGUGCUCCAAGUUUUGAUCAAUCAAAGCGAGAAAAAGUGCUUGAAUUCUGUGAACUGUUCGGUUUCAAGAAGAAGGAAAAAUAAAGUGCUUUUCACACAAAAUUGAUCUUAGUUGCAGAAGAUAAUAGACUACAAUAUCAAACACUGCUUGCAAAGCUUCAUCUGAAGUUUCACUACAGGAACAUGAACAUUCAUUUCACUAUAAUCUGUACUUUUUUUUGCUUUUAGAAGUCGAAGCCAAACAAAAAUUUCGAAGUGAAAUAGUUCUCAAAGGUUGAGAAUCCGCGAGGUGACAGGUUUCAUACAAAAGAAAGAAAGAACAGAAAGAACACAGCAAUAAUAAUACGUCGGUUCAAACUCAAAAUGCUUAUUUUGUUGGAGAAGCCUCGUCCUCGCCGUCUUUCGCCAUGAUAGAGCACAGCAUCUGCUUCGAGAUGUGAUUCUCAAGUUCCCUCGAAACUUCUGUGAGUUUGAGAUCGAAGUUUGUUCUAUACUUCUGCGGUCCAGGAGAGGGAGACCCCGAAAUCCUCCUCCGCGGGCUCGAGAACCGCUUACUCGGCGAGCCCGCGAACCAAGCCUUGGUAACUACUGGUGUGAUCUCACUUACCAACUUCAUAUGCUUUCUUGCCGAGUUUACUAGAGGCCCUUGCUUCGUCUCUAAUGGAAGCGGUUUCAUCGGAGAUAGUCGGUGUGGGAGGUUUUGUCUAAUCCUCUCUCUUGCUCUCUCCGCGGCGAUCAUUGCCUUCUCUUUGCUCAUCUUUAUAAGUUUCCACGGGUUGAUCUCGAAACCGACCUUUUUGUUUGAAGCAUUAGGUUCUUUCUCGAUUCUUAUCGAUAAUCUUCGAGCACUCUGCAGUUUCCGUAAGUGAAUUUUGGUCAGGAUCAUGUGUAUUGCCCGAACAAAAGGAGUGAAGAAGAGCGAGCGCAAAACUUACUCGAGAGAGUUCACUUCUUCUGCAUAGAAAUCUAGAGAGGAACGGCGGUCUGUCUGGCGAGUCAAAGUCGACACUCUCGUCAGACGAGGAAUCGGUGUCGUCAAAUGGAUCCAUCAACUGGCUUUCUUCUCUCAUUGCUAGGAUGUAAUCAUAUGUUCUCAUUCCCUGCAGUCAUUUUCUUUUCGGCUUGUCAUUGAUCACGAAGAAAAUCUCAAGUCGAAGAAAAGGGACAGAUUCAAGUAUCCUAAACAUCUCACAUGCCAAUUUUUCACAACAUGAUACUUUUUCUUCUGAUUUUUUCCGUACUUUCGCCGAAUUACCGCGCAGUUAAAAAAACCCUCAAUCUCAAUAACUUCAAAUACUAGCAACUUAUGCUAUAGUUUAUACAUGAUGCGUAAAACCACACCUUUCGAAUGAGAACUACAUGGAAGAAGAAAAGCUGUCCGAGGGCCGCUGUACUGUACCCUGUCAGCAGAGCCAAUGAUAUCUGCACCAGAUACUUAAAUUCGAUAAAAUUACACAACUGAGAUUCUAAAUUUGAGCAAUAGUUCAAACCAAUACCGAUAUCGCGGCGAGAACUCCUUUAGGGAACUUGAUGCGGAGCUUCUGCACCAUUUCCUGCUCCAUCCCUUUGCUGUCCGCGAAGCAGCGGAUGAAGAUUGCAACUGCUGUUCCUCCCUCUAUAGUUAGCUACACGAAAAGAUCGUCGCAUUCAAAUUAUCGUCUUUAAAAACUCGCAUUUUGUCGCAAAAACAUUAAAAGAGAGAGAGAGAGAGAUUAUAGAACUACGGACCAUGAGCAAUACAAACACCAUCAGUAGAAUGAAGGUGGUGUAGUUCCUUCUCCCUAUGCAGUUGUUUAGCCACUGCCGAAAAUCUCACGGUUAGCGUAGUAGUACAUAAACAAAUUUAAAAUUUAAAAUUUACAAGCUACGCAUUUCUGAGUUAAAAUUCGCGAGACUCCGCACCCUGCAAUGGUGGUCGAAUCCGUCGACGCACCGAUCGCAACUUCUGCAGUGCUUGCUGUUCCUUCUGACCUAAAAAACGAAGAAAACAUACUCGAACCUACGACCAAAAUCUAACAAUUUUACAAAUUUGGCCUCGAAAUCGACCUCGAAAUCGCAGAGAGCGCAGAACGAGAUGUCGUCGCCUUUCCGAUGCGGCGAGACGGCGUCGUCCGUCACAACGAGAGGGAACGGCAGAAGCGGCUCCAACUGAAUGCUGCUAUUCCACUGCUCCAAAUAGUUCCUCCUUAUGCAGCAACUCAGUAUCUUAUCCUCCAAUUUUCGUAAAAAUCUCACCACAAUAUGGCAAAAAAUGUGCCUGUAAUUGAUCCGCGGGAGUUUUCCGGAUUUGGGCCCUCUCCGUUUCCUCGCGUCGGUUCGAUCGGUCGGAUCGAUCGCAGUACACCUCACGUAUAACACAGCAACAGAGAUGGCCUAUCGAAAGACGAAAAAUUCAAAAUUUUUAGCCGCAAUUCGUGUCUCUGAAACAUUCAUACUACAUUUAAUAAAAAUAAAAAAAACAAAUUGAAGGGUGCAUGAUUCAACUUACAGUGAAGGAGAACAAUGUGAGCGCCGUGUUUUCGACGAUUCGGUUUCCGAGGAACGGCCCGAGGAAGAUGUAGAAGGCGGAGACGAGGACGAUGAAAACUGCCGUCCCGACGAACUGCGUCGGCCGAAUGAGAUUUUCGUAACAACAGUUCAAUCAGUUAUUGUGAAAUUCACCAAAAAUGUGGUUAUAAAAUUGAAUUUAAGAUGCAAUUUGGCAAAAGAAAUUUUUGAAAAGUCACAGAUUCUGAAAAUUAAGAUGCAAAAUAACAAAUUUUUCAGAACCAUUUCAAAUCAGAGCGUCUGAAAUUUAAGAAAUCAACAAAACUCAAACCCUUGGUUGGUUUUUGAAUGAUGCAAACAAUUUCAAAUUAGAAAAAAUCUCAAAAUUAAGAUGGAAAUUAACAAAUUUUCAAACCUGGAGGGGAUGAAGUGGGAGCUGCCACCCAUGGCGCCGCAUGCUGCUGCAGCUUCCUUUUUUUUUGGUUUUUUCUCACACUUUUUGCUUCUUUGGAGUAAGAUUCAGGAACUAGAGCUUGUGAUUCGAGUAGGGUUUCCUUUCAAAAUCAUCAAAACCCCCGAAACUCGAUCCAAAAUCUCAUCUUUUUUUAGCUUUUCGGAGUGUUGUUCGUGUGCAACGGACUCGUAGGUGUACUGUGUACUACUGAGGGAAAAAUAAAAGCAAAAAAAAGGGGGAAAAAAAAAAGAAAAAACCAACGGUUGGAUCGGCGAGCGACACAAAUUUUUUGAAUUUUGAAACGUUAACGUCUCGGAUCCGGAAACCAUCCGGUGAGUUUAUGUGACGCGUCACCCCCCAAUUGGGCCUGGGCCUGGCCCAGCCCAAACUCUUAUUCGGUCGUGUUUGUAGAUGUUGUGCUUUGCUAUUCUGUGGUUUUGUUUUUAUUUCGCUGCAACGACCCGACGCGUCAAAUAGGUUUGAAAGAUGUGUCAGUUUACAAACCACAUGAUAGUAAAGAGAUACAUCGUAAUAAUCUUAUAUAACGCGGCGUAUUUUAACUUUACCUUUUUGUAGUUUAAAAGUUUUGCUGAACUAUAGUCGGUCGUUUUCCACGAAACAGACUUCGAGAUCGACAAUCUAUACGGUUAAACAUUAUAUAAAGUAUUUACGCAUUCUAGAAAUUGUGAUUUCUUGACAUCAUUUACUUUAUGAUCAAAAGGCUUCAAAAUUAAUAACAUUAAUUGUCAGUAUAAGAUGUUGUCUAGUUUAACAGUGUAGAAGAAUAAAAAUCGGUUGAAUUUUUAAUAGAAAAUUCUAUUCACUAUUUAGGUCAAAAUUAAUAACAUUGAUUUUAAAUUGAAGAAUCUGAUCCUCUAUUCUACAAAAUAGUUCGAUUUUAAUCAUUUAUUUUGUACCCGCUCGAUGGAUUUUAUUGUAAUUUUUAAAAAUUACAAAAGCAUUUCAAAUACUGUAAAUUAUAUUUAACGGUAUAAAUCAUCAAUUUGAAAGUUUUAUUAUUAAAAAUAUUUUAUGAGUAGGCUUUCGUACGGUUGAUCAUAACUAAAAUUAGAUAGUCAUUUUAAAAAAUAAAAGUAUAUAAAACUCAUCUGAAGUACGAACCAUUUUAAAACAAUUAACAAUAUUUUAAAAUUUUAAUUUGAGUCCGUCGAUAGCAUUUUAACUUCAUAAUUUGAAUAUGCUAUUAUUUUGGCAAGUUUAGUUAUUAUACUUUGUAUAAUUCUUAUGACUAUAAAUUUAUUAAAAUAAUAACGUAUUCAAAUUAUGGACGAUUGGACCACCUAGACCCAACUUGGCUCAACCAUCUCCCGCAUUGUUUACUCGCACGCACCGUUGAUGAGACAUCAAACGGCCACGAUUCAAUCCCCCGAUUCGCGAACUAAACCCACCGUAGACCUAAUCCCCCGCAACAUUACUACGAGUUCCGACCCCCUCCCCCGCCCAUUUAAUCCUAAACCUAAUCCUAACCCUAACCCUAACCGUAAUCCGAACACGAUCGCUCUCCGAUGGCGUCCUCCUCCUCCGCCGCGGCGGCGGCGGAAGCGACGAGCGCGGGUCCUAACCCUAAGAGGGGGAGGCGGGGGGCGGCGGAGAAGCUGUGGACGGAGGCGGAGGAGAUGGCGAUCCUGGAGGGGUUUUUGGAGUUCGUGACGGAGCGGGGGACGCCGACGCGCGCGCCCGACCACCACCACCACCACCACGACACCGCCCCCUUCUUCGAGCGGAUCCGCCCCCGCCUCCGCCGCGCCGACCUCAACCGCGCCCAGCUCGCCGACAAGCUGCGCCGCCUCAAGAGGAAGUACCGCGCCGCCGCCUCCCGCCUCGCCGCCGCCCCCUCCGCCGCCGCCGCCGCCGCCUUCAGGACCCCCCACGACCGCGCCACCUUCGAGCUCGCCCGCAAGAUCUGGAGCCCCGCCACGCCGGCGCCGGAGCCGGAGGAGGGGAGGAAGGGGAUGGAGGAGAAGUGGAGGGAGCAGCAGAUCCUGGAGCUCGAGGUGCUUCUGAAGAGAGCGGAGCUUCUCCAUGAGCACUUCUCCGCGAAGCUCGAGGAGAUGAGAUCGACGACGACGACGACGAGUUCAAACUAGUGGCAUUUCGGUUAUUUACACGAACUCAGAGGUGAGUUUUAUAUCUAUCCUCCAAAAGUGGUUUUUUCUUUUUUUAAAAAAAAAUCUUAGUUUUGAAAAUAAAAUAUACAGGAGCCCCCUCAACUAUUUAUUCGUUUAUUUCGACACCUUCUCACCUUUACUUCUUUUUUUGGAAUUCAAAUUAUUCGCGUCUACUGAAUUAGUAGUAUGAUUAAAUUUAAUUGAAGAAUCUGUCAAUUUUCCCAAAAAGAUCAAAUCUAAAAAAUAAAAAAAGAAAUUGUUGAGGGGUCUCCGUGGUUAUUCUGUGUUAUAAUAGGUCUCCUCCUAUUUAUCUUGUGAUAUAAUGUAAAAAAAAAGGGGGUUAAAUUAGAAAUAAUUUUUCGUAGGGGGUGAGGAGGAUUUAUCUGUAAAUAUGUGUAUUAAUGCUGGGUACGGUCACAUGUAUUCAUACAUACAUGUAUGUGUUAUAAGUUGCUUGGUUUAUAGAUUGGAAAUGUAACAGUUUAUUUAAAUAUGUUCCUAUUUUUAUUUUUCUUUUUGUUUUUAGAACAGUUUGGUUGCACGUAUUUACAAUCGCUCUGCAGUGAUAGUUACAUACAGAUUUAAAUAUAAUAUUUAAUUUCAUGCAUUUGUAAAUAUAAUUUCAACAGUCGUAGUGAUCUAUGGAGGAAUGUAGAUAUAUUUUCAGCCAUAGUUAGUUAAUUUGUGAAUUAUUCAUGAAUUAUUUAUAAUUUUUUUAAAAUUCGAAUAAAACAGUACGUAUGCUAUUUAUUUCCAAAAAAUCAGAAUAAAGCACGACUUUUUAAGUUAGAUUUAUUAUUCGCAAAUAAUUCGCAUUUGCCAAACUAUUCGCUCAAAAAAACGCGCAGAAUUUUUGGAUAAAAUCUUUUUCUUCAUUAUUCGCAAAUUAUUGAAAAAUUUAUAAAUUUUCGAAAUAUGUUGAUCAAGAAAAAGAUGAAGAUAGAGACGACAAUAAAUUUUGUUAUUAUUAUUUUUUACCUAAUCUAUUUUAUUUUAUAAUUCUCUAUUUUUAUAUUCUUAAAAAUUUAUAAUUAUUUAUGCUAGUAGCAUAAAUCUAAAAAAAAAAGUUUAAUUUAAUAGCCGAAUUUUUUAUCUCGAAUUUUUAAUUAAUGAACGUAUAAUUUUCGUAUAAAUUGCAUAUCGGAAUAAAUGGCGAACCUUAUUUUUAAGCUGUAUGUCUCAACAAAUUUUAAAAUUAGAAUACAACUUAUGCUCUUAUUAUAUCCGUAUCAAAUUUUUGUCGAAUCCGAAUUAACUAACUAUGUUUUCAACUACACGGCAUCUGCAGUUGCAUCUAAUUACAUUGAAUUGAUGACCCACACUAGGGGACCUAGUUAAACCUCCAUUAAUUAAACCUCCAAUAAUUAAUAUAAGAUCCUAAUCAAAACCUUGAAUUUGACAACACUUGAUUGCGUAUAAAUUAUCUCGCGCACGUUUUCACGAUUUGAAUGUGCAGAAACUUUCUGAAUACUGUAUCAUCAAUAGUGAUUCGUCACAUAGUACGAGAGUUAAAUCAGAUCUAGCAGACACGGUGGAUUUUAUCAUUUAUCAAGUGAUCGAAAUAUACGUCGCAUUCUCCGUGCGCAGAAAAAUUUUCUGUACUGAGCAUAAGACAAUUUGUGCCCUAAUUUGUCUUUCCUAACAUGCUUACUUUUUAUUAAAUAAAUAGAUAGACUAGCCCAGGUCAGUUUGGGCCUAUAGUUAGUCCUACACAUAGAUAUCAAAUUAUUUUUCAGUUUAAAGCAAAAAAAAUAAGGUUUAUAAGAAAGAGAUGCCACAAUGGAGAUUGAUUUAGGCUAAAUUAUAGAAAACUCUUCUGUCAAAUUUUUUACUUUUUUUUUCUGUCAUUUAAAAACCUACACUUUGCCUCCUUGUAAAAUGAAAAAUGUGCACUUAUCGUUAGUGAUCCGUCAAGGUUCUGUUAUAAAAUAAUUUUUUAUGUCAAAAAUACCUCUCCGCACUCUUUCCUGUUGCUUCGCCUCCCUCCGGGUUGCAGCCUCGCCGUCGCCUCCCGCUCCUCCACUGCCUCGCCCUCGCUCACAUCCCCUUCGCCGUCUCGCCUUCGCCGCCUCGCCUUCGCCCUCGUUGCCCUUGCCUACCUCUCCAUCAGCACUCAUCUUGAUUUUCUCCUUACUGUCGCCGAAAUCGAAGGCGGCGAGGGUGCAGGAGGAGAAAGGGAGCAGGUGUAGAAAAAAAUGGAGAGAAAUCACAGCCGAUCGAGGUGUGAAUCGUAGCCGAUCAAGACGGCGGUUGAGAAAAAUGAGGGAGGAGACGAAAAUGGUGAGGGGCAAAAUGAUCAUUUUACACACCGUACCUCUCCUGUGAAUAUUUUUUAUUUUACAAGAGAGCAAAGUGUAGGUUUUAAAAUGACAGGGGAUGAAAGUGAAAAAUCAGAUUUUGACAAGAAAAUUUUAUGUAAUUUAGCCAUUGAUUUAAUCCACCAAAUGAGAAAUGUUGCUUUUUUCAUAACUUACAUAUUUGUAACAAAUGAAAUCCACUUGUUUCUUUUUUCUUUUUUUAGUUGGUAAGACGGUUAACGAGACAGGCCAGGUUUGGGCUUGGGUUUUAUUUCUGCUGAGUUACGCGUGCAUGAUGAAGAUCAAAUGAACUACGUCAUUGUUACUAACGGGAGACAAAUAUUGCGCCGUUAAAUUAUAAAUACGUUGGUAAAUAGAACUGUCUGUAAUACCAUGUUAUGGAAAAGAUCGGCCUGAAUAGGAAACAAGCGGAUAAUGGACUUAAAAGCAACCAAUAAUAUAUUACCAUCUUAUUUCCUCAUAUUAUACGAGUUGUAAAUUGCAUAACCACGCUAGAUGGAAAAGUAGGAAGGGUUCGUUAAAUUCAAGUUCCGAGCUAAUCGGUUUAAUAGUCUGCUGGUGGGUCACUUGAUAGGCCAGAAAUAGCGCGAUGUUCAGAUUGACCAAGGCAGACCCUUUCCUUGGAAUCUACAUGAUUAAACAACCGAAGAAUCAACAGAAGCAACUACUCUCAGUAGUUAGGCACAGUUGUUGUAAUCGUUAGUUUUUUUUUUUUUUCCGCCCCUCUCAAGGCCCGUAAUGUCUUACCUAUAUAGUUUAGUUUAUCUUUUCAAUGAAUUGAAGCGGAUAACGUACUACCUUUUCCUCAAUAAAAAUAAUCAUACUAAAUUAAUUUUUAACCAAAAUUAUUUAUAUAGAACAAAAUUAAUUCAACAGCUAAGUCAAACAUGCCCUAAUGCAUCUUAUUGUGCCCUAGUGCAUCUUUAAUGAGAUUCCUACCAUUUAUAUUUUGUUCCUACGAAGAUAUGGGAAUGUAAUUAAAUAAAUGUACUCUACCUUUGCUAUUAUUUUUGUACAGUACAUUGUUCUUUUCAUAUUAUGCACCAAAACUUAAUUGUUGUACUCAAAUUUAUUUUUAACCCUUAUGUAUAAUUACAGAUUGAGAAAUUGCAAACAAAUGGACAUCAUUUUAUCCAACAUUGGUAUAUAGUUCACAAAUUUAAUUAAUUCGAUUAAUUCCUUCGCAAACAACUAGUUUUGCUGCGAAAUGUGGAUCCGUGUAUUUCUUGAUCUUAAGAGAAUUGGUUUUGGCGCGAAUACGACGUAGUUAAUUACUUUCUUUGGCACGAAUUACGUAUUUCUAUAAAAAUAACUGGUUUUUGCGCGAAUAUAAUACACUUUAGAAAUUUAGAAAUGCAAUUCUCAAUUAAUUUCCUUACAGAUAAUUAGUUUUGCUGCAAACGUGCGCUGAUUUGUGUAUAUAUGUAUAUUUUUUCUCUUAAAAGAACCGGUUUUGGCGCGAAUGGGGCGUAGUUACUGUCUUUGGCGCGAAGAACGUAUUCCCGUUUAAAUAACUGAUUUUAGCGCGAAUAUGUAGUAACUGUUUUUGGCGCGGACACAACGCAAUUUAGAAAAAUAUAUAUUGUUAAUAUUUACAAGUUUUACAUAAAUUAUUGGCAUUUGCAGGGUGUUUGUUUUUGUAUUACAAAAAUGGUAAAAUUCAUCUCAAAUAUAGUGGAUCCUUUGAAACAUGAAUAGGAAAGAGAAAAAUACCAUAGAUAUAUAUAUAUAUCAUUGUACACAAACAAGCAAGAGCCAAAUAGAAAACAAGUUCUCUUUAUUUAUAUUAUUAUUUUUAUAGAAUGUUGAUAGGUAGAGAUAUAUGAAGAUACUAUAAUAAGAACAUGCACCAUAACUGGUGAUGGACUCAACACAUGCAGUAGAAAAGGUAAAGCAUGAGAAAAUUAUAAAAAGAGAAAGACACAACCUCUGGACUAGAAUGAGUGACUUUUUUGUUCUUGUUGCUGAAAAACGCAGAAGCAUAUAUAUGAGUUCACUCAUUCAGAAUGGAUAGAAGGAAUCGAGCCACGGAUCAGCAACGUAGGGGUCCAGGUACGGCGUCUGCAGCUCCGCCCACGGGCCGACCAUUGGAGGCUGCGGCGUAGGUGUAUCGGCCGGCGGCAGCAGACUGCUGUCGUGCCUGUUCAGAACUUCCACAGCAGCAGCAGCAGCAGCAGCAGCAGACUGAGGAUCAUGAUCCACGACACGCACGGCCGCCUCCUCCGCCGCCGCCUGCAGCGGCACUCCCCCCUCCGGCGUCGCGGAGUACAACUGACGAAGUUGGGUUUCCAGCUGGUCGUAGACCGACUUGAACUUGGCAUCGAGCAUCCAAGUGAGCGACGCCACCUCCUCGACCUGCGCCAGGUUGCUGAAGCUGCUGCGCCGCCCGGACAGGCCCUCGGCCACGAGCGCCAGCAGCUCCCCCUGGCGGUUCUCGCGCAGCUGGCGGCGCUGCGCGUCCCGCAUCUUCCCCACCCGCUGCCGCAGGAAGCUCUCCUGGCUGACCAUCUUCCGCCGCCGCUCGCCCUCCGGCAAGCCCCUGAACUGCGUCACCACGCGCGCCACCCCCCGGGGCUCCGACGGCAAGAUGUCCGCCGGGAAGCGGUCGCUCGGGGUGCCGUACACGAUCAAGCACGCAUCGACACCGCACAGCACGCUCAGCUCGUGCACCUUCUUCAGCAGCCCCUUGCGCCGCUUCUUCAUCGUCGUCCGCCGCGUCGCAUCGUUCGCUAUCCACAUGAGCUUCACCUUCUUCCUCGCCAUCCCGACAAGUCAACGACAACGACAACGACAACGACAACAACGUCAAUCCCCGCAAAAAAGAGAAAACACAAAAAAACUACUCUUAUUUUGGUCUUUUUCCUUUUCGGACUCUACAUGUAUUUAUAGUCCUUAGAUUCUAAUUUUCAAACACUAAACAACUUUCUUAUAUUUUCUCGCGAAAUAUCGUGAUUGGCUCCUUUUUGGAUUUGAGUGUGACUCAGUACACAGCGUAGUACAUUAAUUACGGUACAAAAUCUCAGGGGCGCCCUCGCUGGACAUGUACACUAGUUCAUUAACUGAUACGCUAAAUUAGUAAUACACUCUAUUUUGCGUACGUGGCGCGAUACCAUUGGCCACACACAUAUUUUUAGCAAACACAAAUUAAUUAAAACAAAUUUUUUAAAAAAAUGAAGUGCUAAUGCACGAAUUUAAGCGAAUCUUUGCUAAGAUUUGGAGAAAAAUUGCAUUUAAAUUAAUUCACUAGAAAAAAUUCUCCCUGUAUGACCAUUUUAUCUACUGUUCAUUACGUACAUAGCACGAAUCUUAAAACUGCAUGAAUGGCUGAGACAUGAGGUGGUGCACGUCUCAUGUUGGGAAUUGUCCCCACUAUUAUGUUUUUUUAUUUUUUCAUAUAUAUUAUUAUCCGGUUGUCGGAAUUUUUGCAUGUUCAGUGAAUCUAAUUACAAAUUAAUUUUGAGGAAAUUAAUUUUUGUUGUUGGAAGGGUGUCUAUGGGUUGUUCACAACCUGACAAACAAUAAAUGCAAAUUAUAUAUUCAUCUACCUGUGCCCAUAUAUAUAUAUCAUAUAUAUAUAUAAAUAUAAAUAUACACCUUUUGUAACAUUUAAAUUUUUAAUUUAAAUUUGAUUUCUCAUUUAUCUCAAAUUUUAAACAUAAGAUCUACUUUUUAAUUAGCUUGUUAAUUUCCUCAUACAAAUUAAAUCUAAUAAUAUCAUAUUAUAUAUACAUAUAUGGUAAGCAUAUACAGCGAGACACAUACAUCAACAAUUAAUGUGUGCAUUUCAAAUAGUACAUGUACAUAUCUAAAAAUUACUUAAUUUCAUGAUUUUAACACAAUGAGAUAUGUUCAGGAUCUCGAAUUAAAAAAUUUUCAUUUCUCAUUUCUAGUAAUGGAGAAGAAUCAGAGAAUUUUAGUGUUGUGUUGCCGCAUAAUAUUUUGGUAGACGCUAGUGAAUAUAAAAUAUUAAAAGCAUCAUUCCCUGACGCCAACUUAAUUAAUUAAGCUUUUAAAGUAUAAUCAGUUAUUUCAUAAUUAUUUCACACGCUAUCGAUCAAAUUCGCACGCUCAUCACAUAUCACUGGAAAGAUAAUUUGCUAUUUUCAAAUUUCGAAUGUCAAAUAUAUAUAUAUAUAUAUAUAUAUAAAUAUAUAAUAUAUUGCAUUGGAAUCGAUUUGCGAAGAAAUUUUGAUCAAAUGCAUGUGAAAAAUAUGAAUGUUCUAUCAAAGCCUCCAUAUUAAAUAAUUAAUUUAUUUCAUUUUAUGGACCAAAAAAAUUGCUUAUAGUGACAGGGCAAUGUAAUAUAAUUGCUGGCAAUAAGAGAUUAUAUAUAAUCAUAUGAAUAUAUAUAUAAUAUAUAAUAUAUAUAGUAUUCUUUUUUCUACAUUAAAGGAGGUUGGGGGCUCCAUAGGUGACACUGUAACCCCCAAACGCCUCUUUACUCCCCCCUCUCCUCUCUCUCUCUCUCUCUCUCUCUCUCUCUAUAUAUAUAUAUUUUAUAAUUUUAUAUCAAAAUUAAAAUUUUCAUACUUUCAAAUUUUAAAGUUUUAAAUUUAAAUUUAUAUUUUAAAUUCAAAUUUCAAUUUUAACUAUAUAUUUAUUUCCAAUUUUGUAACUUCAAAAUUAAAAUUUAAAUCCUAAACUAUGAUUUAAUUAAUUUAAUUUUAUAAUAAAUACGCGUAAUAAAUUGGCACAUAAAACUAACAGAUAGAUUUAUAUUUAAAUACGUAAAAUGGUUUAGUAAAAAAAUACAUAAUUUUAAUUUCAAGUGAAAUUAAAAAUAUAGUGUAUAUGUGUAUAUAUAUAUAUAUAUAAUUAAUUUUAUAUAAGCAAUUUUUUCUACAAAUUUAUUUCCCUUCUAUCUAUUGAUUUUUAAAAAUUAUUUUAAUAGAUUUAUCUCUUUAUAAAAUAAAUGAUAAUAAUUACUUGCACAUAUACCAAAUUUAAUGACUUUAUUAAAUAGAUUAACUAUUACAUCAUUUUUUAUAUAAUUUAUUUAAUUAAUAAGUUAACUUAUAAAAUUAUAUAAAAAUAUUAAAAAAAUAAAAUUAUUGUCAAAAUAUUUUUAGAUCCGCAGCAUCGCCGAACAUUAAAGGAGGUUGUGGGAGGCCCAAGAGAGUGCACGAUCACCCUCCCAAACCCUCCUUCACUCUUCUUUCCAAUAUAAUAAUAAUAUAUAUAUAAUAUAUAUAAUAUAUAUAUAUAUAUAUAAUUUUAUAAUUUGAUAUCAAAAUUUAAAAUUUGAUAUUUAAUUUUAAAAUUUUAAAUUUUAUAUUUUAUAUUUUAAAUUCUAAUUUAAAUUUAACUUAUAAUAUUUAUUUCUAAUUUGUAACUUCAAAAUUUAAAUUUUAAUCUAAACUCUAUAAAAUUAUAAAAUAAUUAUUAAUAAUACGGGUAAUAAAUCGGAUAAUAAAAUUUAACAUAUAAUUAAUUUAAAUAUAGUAAAAUAUCGUUGUAUAAAAAAAUACAUAAUUAAAAUUUCUUCAAAACUAAAAUUUUAAAUAUCUGUAAACUCUAUGAAAUAAUUAUUUUAUUAAUAAUAUGGCAUAAUAAAUCGUAUAAUAAAAUUAAACAUGAUAGAUUUAAUUUAAAUCACUAAAAUAUCGUUGUAUAAAAAAGACAUAAAUUUAAAUUUUAGUGAAAAUUUUAAAAAUAUAGUGUGUAUAUAUAAUAAUAUAUAUAAUAUAAUUUAUUAAGAUUUAUUCUAGCAAAUUACUUCCCUCUCUAUCUAUGAUUUUUUAAAUUAUUUAUAAGAUUUACUUCAAUCUUCUCUUAAAUCUUUAUAAAAUAAAGUGGUGUAUAAAUUUAUUUGAGGAUAUAUCAUUUUAAGAUUUAACAUAUAUAAUUAUUUUUAUAUAAUUUUUAUUUAAUGAUAUAAUAAGACUUAUAAAACUAUAUAAAAAUAUUAAAUAAAAUGUUAUUAUAAAAAUUUUAGAUCCGCAGGCAGUCAGCGCGGGUAUUUCACUAGUAUAUAUAUAUAGUACACUUUCUCGUACGAUAUAAAAAUUAACUAAUCAUGAAUCGUACACAUAUGGAAUUUGUACCAUUGAAAUUCAACCUAUAAUUAAAUUUAGCGUGUUACGACCUGAUUUUUUCUGAGGCAAAAUGCGAAUCCUUCACUAGUGAAUAUUAAAUAUAUUGUUUAUAAGUUAUAAUUUUUUCUUUUUUCUCCACAAAAGAAAAAAUCAGGUCAUAAGUUAUUUAUUCAUAUGUAUAUAAAAUAUAUUAUUAUUUCAUAAGUUAUAUUAAAUAUAUUGUUCAUAUGUAUAUAAAAUUUUAUAUAUUUAUUUCUGUAGUUUUCGAGGCUACUCGUUAAUUGUAUGUGAAAUUUAGCAACCUAUAUCUUUAACGUAUUGCUGUGUUAUUUGUCCGUAGCGAAGCGCGAGUUCUUUAUCAGUGAUUCAGGAUAAUCACGACCAAAAACACAUAUUUUUCUCUCAUAAGAAACAAAAAGUAAAUACAAAUUAAUUAAACAUAUAUAGUGUUGCGAGUUCUUUUAAAAUAUUUUAUUUUAUUUUAUUUUUUAUGAUGAUAUUUUUUUUUUUUUCGAAUGUUGAUCACCACCACGUACGCACGUGAAAUGACAUGCAAGCACGUGGAGUGCACGUGUGGGUAGCACGUGGAGUGCACGUGUGGGGAGCACGUGGAGUGCACGUGUGGCUUCCCCCCUCUCUUCUCGCAUCGUUGGAUUCGGUGGGGUUUAUUUUAUUUUAUUUUAUUUCUCUCUCUCUCUUAAAUAGUGUUUGGUUGAGGGAUAAGCUUAUCUGAAUUGCAAAUAUUUUUAAUUUAUUGUCUAAUUUUUUAAAUUUUAAAUUUAUUAUCUAAUUUUAUUUUACAAUUUAGAUGUGUAAUUUAUCAUUACCGAUUAAUUAGCAGAUUUUAUAUACUUUGCAUGACUAUAUAUAAAACUAUUAAAAUAAUUGAUGAGUUUGAAUUUUAUAUUGAAAAAAUUAUCAAAUAUCUUAAGUCAAACAAACCGAAAAGUUGAAUACCAAAAUCAAAAUUUUAAAAAUUUUGGUAGCGGAAUCCGAAAAUAAAUAUUAUCUUCAAUCUUUUUCAUUUUUGGGUUUGAAGAUUCUUAAGUUUUUAAUUUGUUUUAUCUUCAUAAAAUUCCUACUAAUCAUCUUUUUUAUGGAAUUUAAAUAUAAACUAUCACUUCUAAGUUUUAUAAUUAAUCUCUUUUUUCCCCUAUUUAUCUUUGCAAAUAUUCUAUAUGGCCAAUUUGCAUAAAAAAAUGUUAAGAGACUCCCUAAACUAUGAAAGUUUUGAAAUGGGACCCUCAACAUUUUUGUCAUAAAAUCGAAAUUUUAAUUCUCCAAUUCUUUGAUGAUUUUAUUUAAUUUAAUAUAUAGUUUUAGCUACUUUUUACCAAACUAAACCAGACCAAUUAACAAAUAGCAGCUAAUAGAGUCAUUAAAUUUAAUAAAAUUUAAAACUCAAUUUGCUAAAAUGACUCAAAUAACAAAAAUUGGAUGCAAAAGAGGAGUAUUCAAUUGCAAAAAAAAAUUUUAAAAAAAGUUGGAUCUCCAUAGAUUUUCCACAAAUUUGUUUGAAAAAUAAAAGGUUAAGAUUUUGUUUUUUAGAUCUUUUUUGAAAUUGUUCUAAAAGUAAAGGAAUUAUAUAGAAUAGGUAAAAACAUCUGGAACUUAUUUGAACUAUAGAACAUUCUAAUUUGACUAUGAAAUAUUUUAAAAUUUUAAUUUUACCAUCCAAAUUUUUAAUUAUUUUUCAUUUACCUCAAUUUACAUUGAAUGCAUUGUUUAUCUUUACAUAUUUAGCUAAUAUACUCUAUGCAAUUCUCGCAACUAUAAAUUAACUUAAAUUAUAAAGUCAAAAUAUCCUUAACUAAUUCAAAUCAAAUAAAUUAAAAAAUUAAUGGUAAAAUUAAAUUUUAAAAGUUUAGGGUAACUGAUUCAAAAUGAUCUAUAGUUGAGGUGAAUUUUAUAUGUUUUUACCUCCAUAUAUAUAUAGAGAGAGAGAGAGAGAGUUGAGCUAGAAUACUAUCGAUAGUAAACGAGCCGUUUUACUAUCGAUUUGUUUUUGAUGAUAGAGCUUCCAAAUUGACGACCGGUUCCGUUAAAUAUAAUCUAAACCAUUUAAACUACUUAGCACUUUCGAUAUUGUUCUUUUAUCCAUCAAGUGAACAGAAAAAUAAAUAGUUGAAAAUGAAUAUCCUUUAAAAAAUAAUGAUAAGAGUCUUGUAAUCAAGAUCAAGAGUAUAGAUCUUGUUUUAAAUAGUUUAAAGAAUUUUUUAACAAAAAUUCAAUUGAUUUGAAUAUCUUUACGCCGUUAAACGAGAAAACGCCUCUUAUCGACCAUUAAAAUUACAAAUUUUGAAAUUCUUUGAUCAUUAGGCAAAUGAUGUCCAAAAGAUUUGAAAUUUGAUUUCUAAACACUUCGAGUGGUAUAGAUCCUGUUCAACGGAGCCGAUCGUCAAUUUGGAAGCUCUAUUAUCGAAAACAAAUAGGUGGUAAAACGGCUCGUUUACUACCGAUAGUAUUCUANAGAGAGAGAGAGAGAGAGAGAGAGAGAGAGAGAGAGAGAGAGAGAGUAAGAAAAAAAAAUUAAUUUUCCCAAUAAAGUUUGGUUGAGUUUGUCCUUUUCUACCUGGCUGUUGUGUUUAAUGUGGCUUGUCUCCUCUUUAAGUACAAUGGAGGUCUUGGUGUCUCCUUGGUGGGGUUUUGCAUUUGUGUUUGAGUCCAUCUUGUGAUAAUCCUAAAAAUUGUCAUUAUUUAUUUUUAUUUUUUCUUUUCUGAUCUGUAUUAGGUCAUUCUAGUCAUUUAUUUUUGAGACAAGCCUCAAGUUUGUUACAACUAGCACACAAAUAAAAAUAAAAAACGGCGAACGUGAAGUAGACAAAUCAUAAAUAAAAAAAAUAAAAUAAACAUAAAGAUUCACAUGAAAAAUUUUUUGUAGAAAAAAAAAUCACGAAGUAAGGAGGAGAAAGCUUACAAAUGUUGCAUCGUGUCUAGGGCAAAAGAGAAGAAGAAAGUCUCUUAACGGAUUCUUCAUUAUUGGAUCAGAUUCGUACGACGGGAAGCUCCGGCCGAUAGGCCCGAGCCCUUCGCUAUCCACCACUGAUAUCCAUUUUUCCUUUACAAUUUAUUUUUUUUCAAAAAUCUGUCGCACUGUAAAACUGUGACGAAUCGGGGACCGGCCCAAAAAACAAAGUCGAUCAAUAACCAAUUUCGAAGCAUUCAAGUCCAAAACAGGAUCUCAAACUUUCGACCUUAGUUUAUUUUAUUUUCAUAGAUAGGUAGCAUACUAUUCGUUUCGUUUAUUUUUUUAGAAAUUAAUAAACUUAGCUGGAAAUAUGAAUUGACUAAGAUUUGAAUUUGGAACAUCGGAUACCAACUACCAAAUUAUUUGCCACUUGCUCAGGGACGGUCGGUAACUUCCAACCUUAUUGUUGAUAUUUUCUAAGUGUUUAGUAGGGUUUAGAUAUAAAAACAGCAUUUUAAUGUUCCAAAAUAAUUAAUAAUUACCAACAUGCCUAUCUCUUUUACAAUUAAACAUCAAAUUUGUUCUUCUGAAAUUUAAAUUAUUAUACCUUUUUUGUCAUUUUUUUUCUCUCAUGUUGUUCGAUAUGAACAUUAAUUAAUUCCUACAUUAUUCGCGAAUUUUUUUUUAGUUAUUUAUUUAUGCACAGAACGGUAGAGAAUUUGCUUGGAAUGAACAUCAAAUGAAAGAUUAAACCAUCAUAUCUUAAUAAAUUAUAGGCUAAACUUCAAAUACCAUGCUUUAGUUUAAAGUAUAUCGCUUUAGUAUUUUGUGGUUUUAUUUUUUUUUCUUUUUGUCAGUCCAUCCGUUAACUCUUCGUUAAAUCAUAUACAAAAAAACUUCAGAUACACCACCUAUAGUUUAUUGACUAUUUAUUUUAGUAUUAUGUGGUUUACGAAUUUUUAUUUAGUACCUUAUAAUUUUGAAUUUGGCACUGAUUUAACGAAAAAAAUUAACAAAGUGGAUAACUGAGAGAGAAAAAUAAAAUUAACAGGAUAUAAAAGUUAUAUAUUUUAAAUCAUAGGUUAUUAAAAUAAAAAAGCACGAAAUUAUAGAAAUGAUAUUUAAUUUUUUUUCUAAAUUAUAUAUAAAGAGUCAAAAAAAAUUAUUCUAGUACUCAUUUUACACUUUAGUUGCUAGGUAAGUGUGGAGAGCACUCAUGAUUUAUAUAUUUUAUAUUUUAUACUAUAUAUUAGCUUUAUAUUAUAUAUUAUCUAAAGCUACACAAUCAAACAAAACCAAACUCCAACAAUGUUGGACUCUUGAGAAAAAGAAAGCAACUUUAAAUUAAAGCCUAACCUUAAUAAGCAGGUCAAAUCAAUUUCUUUAUUCAACAGCAUUAUUUAAAUACCAAAAACACAUCAUCCUUUACUGUGCUUCUAAUUUUUUUUUAAAACAAAGUUGUCGUAUAUCGCGUAGUUUUUUUUUUUUUUUUUUUGAGAGAUAGGUAACACGCUACCCGCUUCGUUUAUUUCAUUUAAAAAUAAACUUAGCUGGAAAUGUGAAUCAACUAGGAUUCGAACUUGGGUCUCGAAUAUCAACCACCAAGUCCUUUGCCACUUGCUCUUCGGUCAACUGUACGUUAACCAGCUAUAAUAGCAAAAAAUAAAAUAAAAUUCUAAAACACAUCAACUUAUAUAAUAUUAGUAUUUAAAAAGUAAAAAAAAAAAUAGUUAUUUAGCGUACAAUGCAUCAGCUGUACUUUUGCAUUACGCUCCUAAAAUUCAAUCAUAGAGAAUUCAAAAUUAAAUUUUAAAAUAGAGGCUUGGCCUCUUGUGCUAUGAGGGGUUUGGCAUGGACUUUAAUAAAAGGAUUUAAUGCUACUUCAGUGUCUAUGGACAUAACUUUAAAAAAGAAAAAACGAAAAAAAAAUUCAAAUUUUAAUUUAUUAGUUGAAUUUCAUGACAGUUUAAAAAAAUCCUAUGUUUUUUCUAACUCUUAUUUCUUGUGAAUAUAGACAUCAAACAUAUAUCUAAUUAAAUUUUAACUUAAAAACAUUAAUAAUUUGAAUAUAGAGCGUAUAUAAUGGGUAGUGUCACGCACUAAUAUACCGUAUUUUUCUUUUUAAAAUACAGUAUUUUUCAAAUUAUACGUGUAUACAAAAUUAAAAAGUGUUUUUUAACUAAAUUGACGUGAGACCCACAACACUCAAUCUUAUUGACAUGAUUUUUAUACCAGUUUCUUAAACUGUAGAUAUGCAAUCAUUUUAGGAAAAAUUUAAAAUACCACUCCUGCGGUUUCACACUUUCUUAUUUUAGAAUUCUAUGAUUUAAAGUGUAUCAAUUUAGUGUCCUAUGGAUUUAUUUUUAUCUUUUCAUUAUCGAUUCUAUUAUUUUUUUCGUUAAAUUGGGGACAAAGUUAAAACUAAAAGGUACUAAAGUUAAUAUUUGAUAAACCUGGGUGGGGUAUCUGAAGUGUUUUCUAUAUAAUUUAACAAAAUAUUAACGAAAAAAUUGACGAAAGGAUAAAAAUAAAAUCACAGGACACUAACCUGAUACACUUUAAAUUAUAUGGUACUAAAGUGAGAAAAUAUGAAACCGCAGAGAUGGUAUUUGAAGUUUACUUUUAAUUUUAUGUGCAAAUAAUCGUACAU